Molecule: long non-coding RNA, 28296 nt
Filed under: Triticum aestivum (bread wheat)
Lineage: Eukaryota; Viridiplantae; Streptophyta; Magnoliopsida; Poales; Poaceae
Description: long non-coding RNA (TAES_LNC024809)
Source: RNAcentral
AACAAGCAUCAGUUCAGGCAGCGCAGUGACACAGUUCGAGAAAUUCAGCUUUGUUCUUUCAGUAUCACAACUUUGCAAGUCCACUAGUACCACAAAUCAGCCUCCACUCUCCAGCAGCGCAGCAAGACCAAGAAGAAAAGAAGAUAUGGCUGGUCCGGCGAAGGCGUCGUGGAUGGUGGCCAUGAGCGUCAUGUACCUCAGCUGCUGGGGCCCAAAUUAGCAGCUGCCUACAUGGUACUAGUUAGGCGUGUCAGUGUUUGCUGCAACAACCAUGGCCUAUCUGGUUGGCCUUCCGUGGAAUCCCCCAUUGUAAAAUACCACGAUGAUGAUGAUGAAAAAUGCUGUUAUUUGAGCCAAUGUUUAUUUGCUUAUUUAUUAUCUUGUGAGGAAUAUGCAUACAUGCUCUGAUUUGGUUUCUACAUGCUCUGAUUUGGUUUCUACUUGCAACCCAAACAGAAGUUACACAACACUUGACAAAUCGUAGCCAAUUGUAACGGUCACCGAAUCAAGGACCUAGUGGCAGCACACUGAAUAGGUUUAGAUCCAUUUUUCAGUGUCCAACAAGAGGAUUUGGGGAUACAGGGACAGCAAGAAGAGGAGAGCAUGCGAGUUCUAUCUUAGUUCUGAAUAUCAAUCUUCAGUUAGUGCAGUGGCCCAGCCGACGGGCUCGACACAAACGUGCUGAAUUUCUUCAGUCUGCGGCACUUCGUUAAAGUGACACACGCGAUGAAUCCUCGUAUCUGUACUCAAGGUGUCAUCAAGCAACCAAUCCAUUUAUAGUACUUAUCAGUUUUGUUGGUGGACCUGCCUUCGGUUGCUUUGUUAGUACAAAGCGAGACCAAACGAGAAGUACUUCGGAUUGGUUGAAAGUACUUUCUUUUUUCUUCUUUUUUGCGCAUAGGUUGAAGAAAGUACUUUCUUUUUUCUUCUUUUUUGCGCAUAGGUUGAAGAAAGUACUUUCUUUUUUCUUCUUUUUUGCGCAUAGGUUGAAGAAAGUACUUUCUUUCUUCUUCUUUUUUGCGCAUAGGUUGAAGAAAGUACUUUCUGUGGCUCCAGUCGACCUGAUAUGCGACGAGGUCGAACGAAUAUAUUUUGAAUUUCUUUGUUGUAUAUUCGCUAAACUGACAGAGUAGUAAUUAAUUCAACUAAACAUGAUACAACUCUAGGUUAGACCACAUGUCCACAUUAAUAAAUAAACGUGCUUUCUGAUCACAGCUAUCACAGAGUGAGGCACGUCAAAGUUACUCCGUAAGGUUCCACUGAAAGAACAAGUGUUUUAUUGUUUUAUCAUCUAUAUCUAUACCAAUAUUAAAAGACCCAAACGGGCAGAUUUAAUUAAUCUUAUCCAUUAAAUCAUGUCAAUCCAACGACCUAGACUGCUUUAAUGUCGAGCGCUUAACAUGUUUAGCAUGUACUCCCUCAUUAAACUAAUAUAAGAGUGUUUAGAUCACUAUUCUAGUUUAUGGAGGGAGUAGUUAAUUUCAUGCCAAAAAUAGUGAUAAUCACGUAAUACCACGCAAAUAAUAUCUUACUUAAUAUCCGCAUGCACUUAAUAUACUUGCAAAUUAACGUGCAUUGCACGUACACAUUGACUAGUGAUGACAAAAGACACAUUACGUAUUUCCAUUCAAAUUCCUCUUAAUAACGUUAUCUUUGGUAAGAAUGACUCCUCGACGAAGAUAGCACGCAAAGAUUUUAUUCUUAAGCGGUAUCUUUAUCUUCAAUAUCUUCUUCUUAUUAUUAUCAACUGGCACAUCAGAUUUGAUCAACGCUCUAUACACUGAAUCUUCCGAGAAUUUCCCACUCCAUUUAGAUUCCACAGAAAUUCAUCGACUCCAUGUGAUAAAUGUACCGUAGCGAGACGAUUUAUCAAAUCAUCCACCAUGCAAGUCUGGGGCCUAUUAAAUCUCGUCCGAACGUCAUAUUCAGAGGAAAGGAUUCCAGAACAGAAGUUACUUCCAAUUAAUAAGCUGAUCGAUAUAAGAUAAAAAAAAUACUUACAACUAAGAUAAACAAAUUAUCCUCCAGAAACUUGUACUAAGAUAUUUGUUAGCCGCUUAUAUUAUAGAACUCUGUAGAAAAAUAUUAAAAGGUAAUAAAAUAUACGCAUAAAUAAAAUUAUUUUAUAUAUGAAUGCUCAUCUAUUGUAAAUGGUGUACUCUCUCCAAUAAAGAAUAAGUGUCUUAAAGUAGAACUACGACUCUUAUUUUGGAUCGGAAGGAGUAUCAAUUUAAAACAAAUUAUGUAUAGUAAAUUUGAUAUAUAAAAUAAUAAAAGUGUUUGGUAUAAAUAAGUUAUAACUAUUGGCGGAACCAAAGGUUUACCAGAGUGAUGGGCGACGGCAUUGCUAGAUUAGUUUGUUCCCAUUGGUCACUCUUAUGCCUAGGAGUUUGGUUCCCCCGAACCGUUCGAGUUGUUAAUUCGGUGUUUAGAAAAAUUUCGUUGUGCAGAAUCACGCACUGAUCGGUUAAUGGGGAAAGCACUGACCGAUGUUUUUGUGCAUUGUGAGUUUGGGCCAAUAAUCGGUCCUAACCGAACAACACCGAUCAUUUAAUAAUACCAGGAAAAAGUAUACAAUUUCCUCAUUUUUGGCUGAACAAAGGCUUAGGCUACAGUUUUCUCAUGUCAAAACCACAUCACCAAAUUAAAUAAGUUAUUUACUGUUUUCUAAGCAAACCACACCACCAACUUAGGUGCAAUUGAAUCAAGUUAAUCAGGACAUAAGUUAGAGUGGGAAACAAAGUUUAAGUUCGUCAGGUGCGGAGUAUCAGCAGGCGGCUGCGCAGACCAUGUAUUAUAUUUUAUACUAUCUUUUAUGAAAUAUAUAUUUUGCUCCAUCAAUUUUCAAAGUAUAAAACAAAAAUGUUGAAAAAUUCUGGUCUCCCAACUGUCAAAUUGUCCAGAGUUGCAUUUUAUCUAUUUGUUGUCUUACCAUAAAGUUGAAACGAUAAAUUUGCAUGCAUGAAAUUAAACUCAUAUUAUUCCUGACGAAAAAAAUAUGAUUCCUAACUAUUGUCAAAGCCAAAUUUGGCUUCGCAUAUUCAACACAAAAAAAAAUCUUUGUCUAUCAAGUGUUAAAACCGUCGAAAUUUUUAUUUCGUCCCAUUGAAAAGGAUUUUGACAAUGUUGUGGCAAUGGUUUUGCAUUCAUAUCACCAUAGUUUUUUUAUAUAGUUUGGGAAAGAUAUGAUAAUAGAAUAGUGUAACAUUAGAAAAAAUCGAAGCAACUAGAAAGAAAAGUAGGGAAAAACAAGUCAAAAUUUCAGACAAUUGACAAGCAAUAUGUUUAUUUUAGGAAUUUGCAAGUCUAUAUAAAAUAACAAUGGAAAUGAAGAACUUCGUGAAAAAUCGGUAAAACUGAAGGAACCUGCGAACAAUCUGGAAUAUAUCAAAAUUUAUUAAACCUAAAAUCAAUUUAAAAUGUGAAGAAUUAUGUUUCUUGAAAAAAUAAAUAUUUUGAAUUUUAUCAGAUUCCGUCAUUUUUAGAAUAUUUGUGAUAAUUACUCAAUUUCAAAAUUCCUAAAAUAUUACUUUGAUUUUUAUGUUUUUCUAAAAGUAUUUUAAUUUCCCCACUUUAUUCAUGCUGUUUUCCAAGUGUUUGAGGUGCUGCUUUCCAUGUUUAUUUGCACACUUAGCUAAACCAUGUGCAAAACUCGGGAAGAUGAGAAAUUAGAAAAGUUAAUAUUGAAAAAGCGCACGCAACUAGAAAGUAAAACUUGGGGAAAACAAGUCAAAAUUCCAUACAUUUAGUGAACAAUAUGUUUAUGAUAGGAAUUUGCAGGCCUAUAAAAAUGAUCAAAAUUGAAGGAAUUUAGACACUUAGCUACGACAUGUGCAAACCACCUCUAUGGCAACUUCAAAACCGCUUUCUAUGAAGCAGUUAAACUAUUUUCGACAAACUUGACGUUUGAUGGACAAAAAGAAAUUUGGACUAUACUUAGAGCAUCUACAGCCGCAAACACUAAAUCCGGCCCCUCAAACGACUGCGGACGUGCAUGGGUGCGUUCGUGGGCAGUGAUUAGGCAGCCCUCAAAUUUCCUUCUCUGCACCCGAAUAUCUCAUAUUUAAAACCUUAAAUACAUACCAAGUAUGCAAAACGAAAACUUGCGCACUACGUAGAUCAACUAAAUCCUACACUAUCCUAAUCCUUGUCGUCGGAGAUGUCCACGAUCUUCAUGCCAGGCAACGGGUACAUAGGCGGCAGCUGCAACUCCGUCUCCCGUGCGUCGACCUCCACCUCUAGUUUGACAGAAAGCAUGUCGGUCUUUGCUUGUUUCUGCCGGAUGAAGCGCCGGUUGGCAUCCACAUCGGACUCCAGGAUGGUGGUAUGCUCCGCCAUCUAUGUUGCUUGGGCGAUCUCGAACUCCGCCAUGGCGCCUUCCAUGACAAAGCCCGCAACCAGCUUCAGCUCCGCCGCGUACUCCUCCGGCCCAUCCGGAUCCGUCCCCACCAUGGGUCUGGCUGCUGCUCCUCCUCCGGAUCCGGCGAGUCCAGAGGUAGGCCGGUUGCGAGCCGGGCGACGUGCCUAGCCCAAAUCCCCUCGAGCAGCUAGAAAUGCCGCUCCGGAGUUAGCAUAGUGUAUGUGGUUUUUUUCUUCUGCCGGGUCAUGGGGAGACAGACGGCGAGGGAAAAGAGAGGCGGAGAGGGAGAGAAGUGGAUGGGCUCGGGCUGUCGGCACGGAGAGGGAGGAAGCGGAUGUGGCUAGGGCUGCGAGACCUUUGAACAGCUUAAAUAGCAGGAUUUUGGCCCUCUCGCAGCGAGCCGGAGCGGCGCCAUGCGACAUUCACACCCCCACCGAAGGAGACGCAUGUUGGACCGUCGGGUUUCCGGACAAUUACAUGUGGGACCCGAUCGUCAGUUCGACACGGCGACCGUGUCCUGGCCGCCCCAUACCUGCUCCAGAAUUGGUCCGAAUAUGAGAGAAUGCCGGUCAGCCUGGGCAUUUGACAUCGGUUUGAGGCAUCCGAGUGGGUUGGAUUUUUUUGAUCCGGUCAGUGACCGGGACGCCAGCCGGACGCUUGAGACAGUUUUGAGGGACCAUAGAGGCUCUUGGUCGAGUGACCAUGGAUGCUAUUUGUAAGACGAUUACUUUUUAUUCUCGCAAUAAAAUUUGAUUCUGCUCACUGAAUAUUGACACACGUUAUCUAUGCCUCAUUCCGAUCUUAUUUCUGUCGGCGUGUGUCAAAGCGAAACUCUCGCAAUGGACAAAAACCGCUACUUCCACGGCAAAUAAACAAAACGACACGGCAGCGAUAGGUGUGACGUGCACAAGCAGAGUAGCAGCAGAGUGACCCCUCCGAAAGCACCCGGUAUCCCUGAAAACCAACGUCCGCGACCACUGUUUUGCUGCAGACAUCCCAAGCCUCCCUCCUGUAUAUAACCUCGUUCCAAUCCCACUCUUCCUCUCAUCAACAAAUUACACAAGCAUCAAUCAGCCUUCAGCUCAAAAUUCAUUCCAUACUCCACACUCGACUGCUAGCUACCAAUCUCCAGGCAUCACAUAGUUCGGACGGAUCAAGCAGUUGUACUGCCUCCACCAACGCAGAGAAAGAUCAUGGCGGGUGCGGCGAAGGCGUCUUGGAUGGUGGCGAUGAGCGUGGGCGCCGUGGAGGCCCUCAAGGAUCAGGCUGGACUCUGCCGCUGGAACUACGCGCUCAGGUCCAUCCACCGGACUGCCAAGGCCAGGGCCAACGUCCACGGCGCCGUCUCUCAAGGCUCCAAGCAGCUUCCGGCCUCCGCCGCAGCCGUGGCGGAGAAGCAGCGAGCCGAGAAGGCCGAGGAAGGGCUGAGGACGGUGAUGUACCUCAGCUGCUGGGGGCCAAAUUAGCAGCUGCAGCUUGGUACAGCAGCUGCAGCUUGGUACUAGCUAGGCGUGUUAGUGUUUGCUGCAACAACCAUGGCCUGAAAUCUGUCUGGCUUCCCGUGGAAUCCCCCGUUGCAAAAUACCACCACAAUGAUGAUGAUGAAAAAUGAUGUUACUUGAGCCCAUGUCUAUUUGCUUAUUUAUGAUCUUGGUGAGGAAUAUGCAUACAUGCUCUGAUUUGGUGUCUGCUUACAACCCAGCAAAUUGUGACGGUCAACGGGUCAAGGACCUAGUGGCAGGACACUGAGUAGGGUCAGAUCAAAUUUUCAGUGUCCAACAAGAGGAUUUGGGGAUACAGGGACAGCAAGAAGAGGAGAGCAAGUGAGUUCUAUCUCAGUUCUGAAUACCAAUCUUCAGUUACAUACAGUAGGCAUCAGCCUCCAACCUGGACACGGCCACCUCACGCACACGCAACACAAUGAUUUGCUAAGCAGGCUGGGUUGUCUCCGUUUCCCUUCGAUCUUUAGUUAAUACAGUGGCCCGGCCCACGGGCGCGACACAAACAUGCUGAAUUUCUUCCAUCUGCGGCACUUUGUUAAAGUGACACACGCGAUGAAUCCUCGUAUCUGUGCUCAAGGUGUCAUCAAUCAACCAAUCUAUUUACUGUACUUAUAACUUAUAAGUUUUGUUGGUGGACCUGUCUUCGGUUGCUUUGUUACUCCAAAACGAGACCAAACGAGAAGUACUUUGAAUUAGGUCAUGGCGAAUAUGUUCUGAAUUUCUCCGUUGUAUAUUCGCUAAACUGACACAAUAGAAACAUGAUACCUCUUCAGGUUAGACCACAUUAAUAAGUAUCACAGAGGGAGGCACAUCAAAGUUACUCCGUAUCUUGAACUAAAAAAAGUUACUCCGUAUCUUUCUACCAGCAAUUUUGGAUUUUUCCCUAGGGCCAUGAAACCAAAAGAGAAGAAAAAUAAAUAAAAUCAGACUUUCAGAUAAUAGGUACAAUCGGCUGCACAGUAGUUCCUUCCAAUUAAUUAAGCUGAUUGAUAACUAACUGUCCUUGGCUCGGGCCAGUGCCGCGGAAGUUCUGCUUCCCGUCUCUCUUCAAACACUCGAGGCGUAAGGGCAGAACUGUGGCACAAGCUAUCACUGACGACCGCUGGGUCUUGGACCUUGCACACGGCAACAACAGCAACCUUGUCAGCGAGGUUCUUGAUCUGCAUCGUCUCAUUCAGCGCCGGCAGCUCAACUUCCAGGCCGAAGAUCAGGACCAGAUCCGCUGGAACUUGGAGGGAUCAGGUCAGUACAGCUCCCGCUCGGCCUACGCCCUCCAGUUCUUGGGCUCGACGACGGGCAUGUUCCAGGCCAUGAUCUGGGCCAUCUGGGCUCCGGCGAAGCUUAAGAUGUUUGCGUGGCUCCUCCACCAGAACCGGCUGUGGUGCAAUGACCGUCUCCAACGUAGGGGCUGGCCAAACUCCUACUUUUGCCAGCUCUGCCUCAGGAACCUGGAGACCUCGGCUCAUCUGUUCUGGAGCUGCCCGUUCACGAAGACAGUAUGGACUAGCUUGUCCUCUUGGCAGCACUGCCAGGGGCUAAGUAAGGCGUGUCUGCCCAACGAAUGCAGCUCCCUGGAAAAGGUCGAAGCCAUGGUUUCAGCAACAGGGCCAGCACAUGCGAAAGGAAUCAAGUCGCUGAUCAUGCUGGUGCUUUGGAAAAUCUGGCAAGAGCGCAACAACCGCGUUUUCAGAAAGAAAGAGGCUACGGUGCAAGCGGUGAUCAAUGACAUCAGGAGAGAGCUCUGUCUUUGGCAACAGGGCGGUUUCAAAUCCAUUCUGAGCCCCUUCGGGGAUCCUCCAUGAGAUAGUAGUCUUAGAUCCGGGUGCCUCAGGCACCAAGGCUUUUUCCUUCUUUUUGUUUACCUCCUUGAUCCCAGGAUCAUCGCCUUUGUCACUUUGUCAUCUGCUCCCUGCUUAACCAAUGAAACCCCAGCCAUGGCUGGCUCGUUCAAAAAAAAAACUAACUGUCCUCCACAAAGCUUUACUAAGAUAUUUGUUAGCCGCUUAUGUUAUAGAACUCUAUAGCAAGAUAUUCAAAGAUAAUAAACUAGACACAUAAAUAAAAUUAUGUUGUAUAUGAAUGUUCAUCUAAUUUUCCUCUUAUAUGGAUGGAAUUUAACUUACUUAAAAGUCCCAAACAUAUUUGGAAAAAAUAAUAGAAGUUUUACAACAAAUUGGAGUUGCUUUGUCAUUAUAGUAAUCUCAAUAGUUUUUUUAUAAUAUUUAACUCUAAGUUACUACUUGGGGUUCAUGUUGUUAGGUAUAGUAGACAUUUUUUUUGUAAAUGUUGUACUCUCUCCUAUCAAACAUAAGUGUCUUAAAAUAAAACUAUGACACUUAUUUUGGAUCGGAAGGAGUAUCAAUUUAAAAUAAAAUUAUAUAUAGUAAAUUUGAUAUAUAAAAUAAAUAAAGUAUUUGGUAUAAGUAAGUUAUCUGGCGGACGACGAGGAUGCUAGCCAUGACGGCUGCGUCCCGGCGGACGACGAGGUUGGUGCCGCCCAUGGUGGCUGCAUCUCGGCGAACGACGAGGUUUGUGCCGCCCAUGGUGGAGGACCGGGCGGAAGUGGAGGCCGACCAGAUGGAGGGGGUGGUGGUUGCUACCUCUUGAGCAUGCGUUGGUUUUCCCUUGAAGAGGAAAGGGUGAUGCAGUAAAGUAGCGUAAGUAUUUCCCUCAGUUUUUGAGAACCAAGGUAUCAAUCCAGUAGGAGGCCACAUGCAAGUCCCUCGUACCUACACAAACAAAUAAAAACCUUGCAACCAACACGAUAAAGGGGUUGUCAAUCCCUUCACGGCCACUUGCAAAAGUGAGAUCUGAUAGAGAUGAUAAGAUAAUAUUUUUGGUAUUUUUAUGAUAAAAAUUAAAAGUAAAGAUUGCAAAAUAAACGGCGACAGAAAUAGCUAGUUGACAGGAGAUUAAUAUGAUGGAAAAUAGACCCGGGGGCCAUAGGUUUCACUAGUGGCUUCUCUCAAGAUAGUAUAAGUAUUACGGUGGGUGAACAAAUUACUGUCGAGCAAUUGAUAGAAAAGUGCAUAAUUAUGAGAAUAUCUAGGCAUGAUCAUGUAUAUAGGCAUCACGUCCGCAACAAGUAGACCGACUCCUGCCUGCAUCUACUACUAUUACUCCACACAUCGACCGCUAUCCAACAUGCAUCUAGAGUAUUAAGUUCAUAAGAACAGAGUAACGCAUUAGGCAAGAUGACAUGAUGUAGAGGGAUAAACUCAAGCAAUAUGAUAUAAACCCCAUCUUUUUAUCCUCGAUGGCAAUAAUACAAUACGUGUCGUUUCCCCUUCUGUCACUGGGAUCGAGCAACGCAAGAUUGAACCCAAAGCUAAGCACUUCUCCCAUUGCAAGAAAGAUCAAUCUAGUAGGCCAAACCAAACUGAUAAUUCAAAGAGACUUGCAAAGAUAACCAAUCAUACAUAAAAGAAUUCAGAGAAGAUUCAAAUAUUGUUCAUAGAUAAUCUUGAUCAUAAACCCACAAUUCAUUGGAUCUCGACAAACACACCGCAAAAAGAGUUACAUCGAAUAGAUCUCCAAGAAGAUCGAGGAGAACUUUGUAUUGAGAUCCAAAUAGAGAGAAGGACCCAUCUAGCUAAUAACUAUGGACCCGAAGUUCUGUGGUAAACUACUCACACAUCAUCGGAGAGGCUAUGGUGUUGGUGUAGAAGCCCUCCGUGAUCGAUUCCCCCUCCGGCGGAGUGCCGGAAAAGGCCCCAAGAUGGGAUCUCGCGGGUACAGAAGGUUGCGGCGGUGGAAAUAGGGUUUCAUGGUGCUCCUCGAUGGUUUCGGGGUACAUGGGUAUAUAUAGGAGGAAGAUGUAGGUCGGUGGAGCCACGAGGGGCCCACGAGGGUGGGGGCGCGCCCGGGGGGGGGGAGGGAGGUGCGCCUCCCUGCCUCGUGGCCUCCUCGUUGAUUUCUUGACGUCCACUCCAAGUCCUCUGGAUCACGUUUGUUCCAAAAAUCACACUCCCGAAGGUUUCAUUCCGUUUGGACCUGCUUGGUAUUCCUUUUCCGCGAAACACUGAAAUAGACAAAAAAACAGCAAUUUGCACUGGGCCUUGGUUUAGUAGGUUAGUCCCAAAAAUAAUAUAAAAGUGUAUAAUAAAGUCCAUUAAAUAUCCAAAACAGAAUAUAUAAUAGCAUGGAGCAAUAAAAAAUUAUAGAUACGUUGGAGACGUAUCAGUGGUGUCGCGCCGUGCGCCAGCGUUGGGUGAUCGAUAAGACCCAAAGACGAAGACGGUGGCGUCGGGCCGUGCGAAACCAGAGGCAUCGGGCGCGCGUCAGUGCCGCAUGAUGAUGGUGAUGGCAUGCCAUAGGGAUGGUCAUUCGGCGCUGGGGCCGUCUGGCUGUGGUGGUGAACCUGCGGUGGUCGGCCUGUCUUGCCGUGCUGGUUGUGCGGUGUGUUGGAAAUAUGCCCUAGAGGCAAUAAUAAAUGGUUAUUAUUAUAUUUCUUUGUUCAUGAUAAUAGUCUAUUGUUCAUGCUAUAAUUGUAUUAUCCGGAAAUCGUAAUACAUGUGUGAAUACAUAGACCACAAUAUGUCCCUAGUAAGCCUCUAGUUGACUAGCUCGUUGAUCAACAGAUAGUCAUGGUUUCCUGACUAUGGACAUUGGAUGUCAUUGAUAACGGGAUCACAUCAUUAGGAGAAUGAUGUGAUGGACAAGACCCAAUCCUAAGCAUAGCAUAAAAGAUCGUGUAGUUUCGUUUGCUAGAGCUUUUCCAAUGUCAAGUAUCUUUUCCUUAGACCAUGAGAUCGUGCAAGUCCCGGAUACCGUAGGAGUGCUUUGGGUGUGCCAAACGUCACAACGUAACUGGGUGACUAUAAAGGUGCACUACGGGUAUCUCCGAAAGUGUCUGUUGGGUUGGCACGGAUCGAGACUGGGAUUUGUCACUCCGUGUGACGGAGAGGUAUCUCUGGGCCCACUCGGUAAUGCAUCAUCAUAAUGAGCUCAAUGUGACUAAGGCGUUAGUCACGGGAUCAUGCAUUGCGGUACGAGUAAAGAGACUUGCCGGUAACGAGAUUGAACAAGGUAUUGGGAUACCGACGACCGAAUCUCGGGCAAGUAACAUACCGAUUGACAAAGGGAAUUGCAUACUGAUUGAUUGAAUCCUCGACACCGUGGUUCAUCCGAUGAGAUCAUCGUGGAACAUGUGGGAGCCAACAUGGGUAUCCAGAUCCCGCUGUUGGUUAUUGACCAGAGAGGCGUCUCGGUCAUGUCUGCAUGUCUCCCGAACCCGUAGGGUCUACACACUUAAGGUUCGGUGACGCUAGGGUUGUAGAGAUAUAUGUAUGCGGAAACCCGAAAGUUAAGUUGUUCGGAGUCCCGGAUGAGAUCCCGGACGUCACGAGAGGUUCCGGAAUGGUCCGGAGGUGAAGAAUUAUAUAUAGGAAGUCAAGUUUCGGCCACCGGGAAAGUUUCGGGGGUUACCGGUAUUGUACCGGGACCACCGGAAGGGUCCCGGGGUCCACGGGGUGGGGCCACCUAUCCCGGAGGGCCCCGUGGGCUGAAAGUGGAAGGGAACCAGCCCUUAGUGGGCUGGGGCGCCCCCCUUGGGCCUCCCCCCAUGCGCCUAGGGUUGGGAACCCUAGGGGGGGAGCUUCCCCCUUGCCUUGGGGGGCAAGGCAACACUUUCCCCUCUUUGGCCGCCGCCCCCCCUUGGAGAUCCCAUCUCCCUGGGCCGGCGCCCCCAGGGGGCCUAUAUAAAGGGGGGGGGAGGGAGGGCAGCAACCUACAGCCUUGGGCGCCUCCCUCCUCCCCUGCAACACCUCUCUCUCUCUCGCAGAAGCUCGGCGAAGCCCUGCCGGAGAACCGCUACAUCCACCACCACGCCGUCGUGCUGCUGGAUCUCCAUCAACCUCUCCUUCCCCCUUGCUGGAUCAAGAAGGAGGAGACGUCGCUGCACCGUACGUGUGUUGAACGCGGAGGUGCCGUCCGUUCGGCACUCGGUCAUCGGUGAUUUGGAUCACGGCGAGUACGACUCCGUCAUCCACGUUCAUUGGAACGCUUCCGCUCGCGAUCUACAAGGGUAUGUAGAUGCACUCCCUUCCCCUCGUUGCUAGUAUACUCCAUAGAUGCAUCUUGGUGAACGUAGGAAAAUUUUAAAAUUAUGCUACGAUUCCCAACACGGUGGUCGGCCCGUUUGGAUGUGGCGUUGAGGGUGCUGAGAGUUGGGGGGAAACGACUGACCAUGGUGGUGGAGGAGGCCGUGGUCCUGACCGUACUGAAAGCGAGGGGCAGGUUGAAUCUGUGGUCGGAGAAGAGAAGGCGGUGCCAGAAGGAUUUGGUCCUGAAAGUGUUGGGCCGGGAGAAUCGGCGGCGCGGGCAGGAAGUUGGGACAAAGGUGAUCAGGGUGGACGCGUGGGGACGCGGCAGCAGCAUAGGACUGCCAGUGGCCGCCACAUGGCUGCCGGUGUGGGAGGGAAAGCUCGGAGCAUCGUAAGAUUUUGGGAAGGGGUUUUCUGAAUGGAUCCCCACCCCACAAAGGUGGAGGCGUCUUUGAAGCGUUCGGGGUGCGGGUGCAUGGAGCCAGACAGUAUAGCGAGCGAACUGCGAGGUGAAAAGCCUGACUACUUUUUCCUUUUCUUUUGGGGAGGGUAAAAGCAUUGCUAACAGUGGAUGCUAUCUUCUCCUAUCACUCUGUCUGUACUCGGUUUUUACCGUACAUCCUUCAAAGUACAUCCCUGUAUAUAACCUCCUCUUAGGGGGCGUUUGGUUUACAGGCUAUUCACCAUAGGGACAGGGAUAGACAAUUUUUUAGGGGAUAUCACUUGUUUGGUUUACUAGCCAGGAGGGAUAGGGAUAACCAGAUACUAGCGAAUAUUCCUUCAAAACGUGGUUGACGGGAGUCACGAGAUUAUGGCGGAUGAGGGCAGCCACCCGCGCUUGCGUGAAACGUUUUCCCAUGCGCGCCCUCUGUCGCGUGUCCGUGGCAAUCGGCCCGGCGGCGCUCUCGGAUGCCUCCGCCGCUGGCACACCACAGCCCACGCCGGCGCCCUGCUUGGCCGUCGGCCAAGGCCCUGCUCCUCGAGACGAGGCGAGCCGCGGGUGCUCCAUCCUUUCCAGGCAACUCGCCUCCCACUCUCGGCCAUGGCCCCUACCUCCAUCAACCCCCCUCUCUCGGCCUGUUGUGACCGUGGCUGGCGGGGAACGGGGAGCUCCGGCGGCUGGGAACGAGGAUCACUUGAGAUCUUCCAGCGGACACAUGUGACGCAGAUGGGGAGACCUCUGGUGGUGGGGAACAAGGAGAUCUCCUGUGGUUUGGAACGAGGAGAGCUUGCCUAUCUGUUGUCUAUAUGUAUGUGACAGUCUUUCAACUCUCCCGUUUUCUCGACAGGUAGCACAUAUGAACACUACUGAUUUAAUAGUAUGGACAAUCACCUGUAUGAUUGUACAAAGAAGAACAUGUAUACAUGUAUGAAUAUUUGGUAAAAAAAUUCGACAAAGGGUGGAUUUUAUUAACUCAAAAUGAAGGAUCAAGGGGAUACAAACACAUUGAGCACACACCCGGCCUCUGCAUAACCAGGAUGCACACAGCCAACACCAACACACACAAAAGAGAAAAAAAACGCCAGCAAAGAGCAAAGUCAUACAAGACUCAAGCUAUGCCUAAGCGAGGGAAAAGAAAAAGGAAAAAACACUCUGAAACGAUCAAAACAACGGUUGAUAAACUACAUCAACGACCAUAUCCGCACCAACCAUCUCUUGACAGAACAAGCGCAACGAGAAAGUUUCUUCAACAGCAACGCCUUCAGGAAGGAAACGACGCUUAAACGUCGCCGUCACUGGACCCGACCAACAAAGGUCAGACUCUAGGUUUUCACCCCGAAGAACAAGUCUGAGCACAUCCGAGCAAUGCCUUCAUCAAGGUAACGACGCAAAAACAUCGGCAUCGCCAGGUAUAACCAAUUCAGGCCAGACCUAGGGUUUUCACCCCGGAACUCGAGACCGGGUACUCGAGAAGCACCACCAAAUCAAAGUCAUCAUGUUGUCGCCACCACUUUCCGCGAUCCCAGCAGCUAAAGGUGAGGCACAGUCUUUACAUGCCGGCAUGGCUUGCCGCUGCACAACCAUCUCCUCUGCGUCAAGCCGUCGUCCAUAGAAUUUAUCUCACCGCUGAAUGCAAACUGGCCGGAUUGAGAGCCACCGAAACUCCCAAUGGAGCCUUCCGGUUACAUCACACAACCUCGCCAGUGCGAGCUGCUGGCAAUAACCAAUGGAUCCUAAGAAAAAACUCUCAUGAAGACCCUUGAAUGGCCACUGCAAUCUGCGGCUCGAGUGGCCGGACGGUGCCGCCAUGGUCAGGAUGAAAAUUGCCCCCUCGCAUCGAUCGGACGAACCACCUGCGGCCAAGUGACAAGCAUCGGUCAACCGAUGUAAGUCCCAAGGCGCCACCACCAACCUCCUUCGGCCUUGUGAUCUGUCGGCGGCAACAGCGGCGAGCGUCUUGGGUCGCUUGGGAAGAUGACCCUUAUCACCAACGCUGCCAUGCUCUGGACAGCCGGAGGAAGCUUCGGUCCGAACCUGCAUGAUCUUGACCGCAGGCUGCUGGAGGAGAAUGGAUGGUCAUCUCCACCCAGGCCAUUGCCAAGGCAUCACUAUGCUGCCCAGUUCAGAUUCCCAGAUCGCUCUAGCCAUUGACCUAUGCAUGUCCCUGUGCACAGAUCGCCUGCCGCUGCAUGUCCAUGCGCAGAUCGCUCUAGCCUUCGGACGUUGCAUGAAGAUCGCUGCUGAGUUGUUGUUCACCUCGCGCGCCGUUCAGCGCCUUGCGUAGAAGCCAUCGCCCGGAGCCCCGCUGCCGCCGUCAGCCACACAGGCUUUGCUCGGCAGCGUCGUUCGGCGGCGGCGAGGGAAGCGAGAGAGGUGGGGAGGUCCCGAAGAAACAUGAAUAUUUGGUAAAUAGUGACCAGUUCAUGGUAUUUGAUUGUAUGGACAGUCACGUGUAUGAUUGUACAAAGAACAUGUAUACACGUAUUUGAUUGUGCAAAGAGGAACAUGUAUAUAUGUAUUUGAUAUACAAAGAAGAGCAUGUAUUAAUAUUGCGUUGUAGAAGAACAUAAAAAAAUAACUAAUGACUAUCCAUAUCCACCUUUUAUCCUUGCAACCAAACAAUAAAAAGCGGUUAUCCAUCUCAUCUAAUCUUUCGCAACCAAACGACAAAAACUGGCUAUCCCCAACCAGGUGGUUAAGGAUAUCCUCAGCCAAGCCAACCUCGCCCGUGAACCAAACGCCACCUUAGUCCCACUCUUACUCUCGUCAACACAAGCAUCAAUCACCCUUCAGCUCAGUACAUUCACAACCACAAAGCCUGCGCUCUACACUCGACUAGUAGCUACUAAUCUUCAGUCAUCACCUAGUCUAGAAUCAACAGAUCAGUCAGCGGUGCUGUCUCCACCAACACAGAGAGGGAUCAUGCCGGGUGCGGCAAAGGCGUCUUGGAUGGUGGUGAUGAGCGUUGGCGCGGUGGAGGCGCUCAAGGAUUAGGCCGGCCUCUGCCGGUGGAACUACGCGCUUAGGUCCAUCCACUUGGUAGCGAAGGCGAGGGCCAACAUCCGCGGCGGCGUCUCCCAGGGCGGCAAGAAGCUUCCAACCUCUGUGGCGGCGGUGGCGGAGAGGCGGCGAGUGGAGAAGGAUGAGAAGGGGCUGAGGACGCUGAUGUAGCUCAGCUGCCGGGGUCCCAAUUAGCAGCUGCAACUUGGUAGUUGCUACUACCUAGGCGCGUCUGUGUUUGCUGUAACAACGAUGGCCUGAAACAUGUCUGGCUUCCCGUGGAAUCCCCCAUUGUAAAAUACCACCAUAAUGAUGAUGAUGGUGAUGAAUGAUGUUACUUGAGCUCCAUGUCUAUUUGCUUAGUUAUUAUCUUGGUGAGGAAUAUGCAUCCAUGCUCUGAUUUGGUGUCUGCUUACAACUCAGAAAGAACUUACAGCUACACUUAAACAACAAAUCAUAGCAAAUUGUAACGUUCAAUGGGUCAAGAGCCUAGUGGCAGCACACUGAAUAGGUUCAGAUCAAUUUUUCAGUGUCCAACAGGAGGAUUUGGGGUUGGGGAUACAUGGACAUCAAGAAGAGGAGAGGAGAUGCAUUCCCGGAUCCAGACCAAUCUUUAGUUACAUCAGCCUCCUACCUGGAUACAGCCAACUCAUGCACACGCAACACCACCCUUUGCUAAACAUGUCGGGCUGUCUCGGUUCCCCUUUGAUCUUCAGUUAAUGCAGUGGCCCGCCCCACAGGCUCGACACAAACAUGCUGAAUUUCUUCAGUAUGCGGCACAGGCGAUGAAUCCUCGUAUCUAUACUCAAGGUGUCAUCAAGCAACCAAUCCAUUUACAGUACUUAUCAGUUUUGUUGGUGAACCUGUCUUCGGUUGCUUUGUUAGUCCGAAACAAGACCAAACGAGAAGCACUUCGAAUUGGUUGAAAGUACUUUCUUUCUUCUUCUUUUUCGCGCAUAGUUUGAAGAAAGUACUUUCUGUGGCUCUAGUCGACCUGAUGCGCGACGAGGUCGAAUGAAUAUAUUUUGAAUUUCUUUGCUGUAUACUUUAUUCGCUAAGCUGAUACAGUAGUAAUCACUGUCCAAAAAAUCUUCCGAUUCAGCGAUUUAUCGUCCGAUUUAUCGCUACUCUUGGGGUGACCGAUAAGAUUAUGCCUUAUCUUCACCGUUUAUCGUUUGAGCCGAUUUAUCGCUAUGACAAGCGAUUUAUCAGGAAUCUGCCGAUAAAUAGGACCUAUUAAUAGCACUAUGUUUGCAAAAGUUAUGUUUAUUUGCAUUUUGUGGACCUUGUUACGCAAUAUGUAUUGUUGUGCUAUUUUGCUUGUCAUUAUAAGAGGAUUCAAAGGCUGGGAAUCAAGGUAACACUUUUGUCCAAUAUUUUUUUGGUUUUGAAUUUAGCAUAUUUUAGUAUUGGGAACCCCGAAUUUGAAAAAAAAAUGACAGAUUAAUAGUCGACCGAUAAAAUCGAUUAAUCUAUCGAUUUCCGAUUAGUCUCUAAUCCCCAGCUGACCGAGACGCUAACGCUAAGCGAUAUCCUCAACAUUGGUACUAAUUCAACUAAACAUGAUACAGCUCCAGCUUCAGAUUAAACCACAUGUGCACAUUAAUAAGUAAAUGUGCUUUCUGAUCACAGCUAUCAUAGAGUGAGGCACAUCAAAGUUACUCAAUAUCUUUCUUCUUCCAAUGAAAGAUCAACACUUUCGAUUUUGCCCUAGGGCCAUGAAACCAAAAGAGAAGAAAAACAAAUAAAAUCAGACAUUCAGUUAAUAGGUACAAUCAGGUGCACAGUAGUUCCUUCCAAUUAAUAAGCUGAUCGAUAUAAGAUAAAAAAUACGUACAACUAAGAUAAACAAAUUGUCCUCCACAAACUUGUACUAAGAUAUAUGUUAGCCGCUUAUGUUAUAGAACUCUCUAGCAAAAUAUUCAAACGUAAUAAAAUAGACGAAUAAAUAAAAUUAUUUUUUAUAUGAAUGUUCAUCUAAUUUUUCUCUUAUAUGGAUGGAAUUUAACUUACUUAAAUGUCCCAAACAUAUUUGGAAAAAUAAUAUAAGUUUAACAACAAAUUGGAGUUGGUUUGUCAUUAUUGUAAUCUUAAUGGCUUUUUUUAAUAAUAUUUAACUCUAAGUUACUACUUGGGGUUCAUGUUGUUAGGUAUAGCAGACAAUUUUUAAAAAAUGUUGUACUCUCUCCGAUGAAAAUAAGUGUCUUAAGUAAAACUACGACACUAACUUUGGAUCGGAAGAGUAUCAAUUUAAAACAAAAUUAUGUAUAGUAAAUUUGAUAUAAUAAAUAGAAGUGUUGUCUAUAAAUAAGUUAUAACCAUUGGUGGAACCAGAGAUCGAGGUUUACUGGAGUGACGGGCGAUGACAUUCCUAGAUUAGUUUGCUCCCAUUGGUCACUAUGUACGGGUGGUAUGAAUCACUACCGGAGACCCAGGGCGAUCGACUAUGCUCAACCCAGCGCUUUAUUCUUCCAUUGAUGAUAACCUUAUUUCUAAACUGCAUGCACAAUUAAAAUUGAUUAUUCUAAUCAAUCCUGCAUACUUUCAUCAUGUAUUGUGAUUCUUUUUUCGAUGCCUUAGUUAUGUCAUCAUUGUUAUCUUCAACACUAUUUAAAAAGACGUAAUAUUCCGUCUUUAGUCUUACGUCUUUUGUUUCGUCCAACCUCCCACAUCCCUGCAACCCCACAUCGUCUCCCCUUCUUUUGUCUAUCUCUGGUUUAUUUUCAUGUCACUCCCUUUCCUGGUUCGAUAGGAUGCAACCCACACACCAUAAUCAAUCACUAUCGACGCCUCCCACACUCUUCUCACUUCUCCCAACCUUGGGUUUCCAGACUCCACUACUAUAGAACCGAAUAACACCGGCAAAUCAUAACAUCAUUGCUGUGCCAACGGCCUAUCAUUAGUUCCGGGUCGGUAAUGACUUUAUCAUCACUAACAAUCCCAAUGGAAUGUGGCUGAUGAUGACUACCGUCUGAAUGGUUGGCUGAGAAACCAAAAAAGUUGGGGUACACCAGCUGCCAAAAAUGAACCAGGAUAAACCUCAGCUUUUAAAGAAGUGUUGGUUUAAAAUACCCCUUUGGUUAGAUUCCAAUUUUUUAGCCAAAAGUUGGCAGCACAAACUGAAACAAACACCAAUUGCCAAAAAAGAACUAGGAAAAACCUCAGUUUUUAAAGAAGUGUUGGUUGUUUAGAAUACCACUUUGGUUUAAAUUCCAACUUUUUUAGCCAAAAGUUGGCAGCUCAAACUGAAACAAACUCAGGCUUGUUGUCUCACUACUAUCACAGGCUUGAGGCAUCUGCCGUCGGACAUGUGCUUUUCUCGGAGUCUGUGUCGCCUCAGUUUGUCCGGAUGCGGAUGCCGGGCAUGGAGCAACUCGUUGCCUGCACGUUGUACGCCCCUCAAGCGGGUGAGCCGUCAUACGACGAUGUGGACUGACAAAUGUUGGAGAUAAGCAACCAAUCCAUUUAGUACUUAUCAGUUUUGUUGAUGGACCUGCCUUUGGUUGUUUUGUUAGUCCAAAACGAGACCAAACAAGAAGUACUUCGAAUUGGUUGAAAGUACUUUUUGUGGCUCCAGUCGACCUGAUGUACUAAUAUGUUUGGAUUCCUUUGUUGUAUAUUCGCUAAAAAAAAUUGCGGGUGUAUAUUCCCGAAACUGAAGCAAUAGUAAGUCAACUAAACAUGAUACAACUUCAGGUUAGACCACCUUAAAAAGGAAACAUGCUUUCUUUAUCACAACUAUCACAGCGAGGUACAUCAAAGUUACUCCCUCCAUUCCAUAAUAUAACAUCGUUUUGCCAACUAAAAUAGCUCGCAAAACGAUUCUAUAUUGUGGGACGGAGGGGUACUCCGUAUCUUUCUAGUUUCCACUAAAAGAGCAGCAAUUUGGAUUUUGCCCUAGGACCAUGGAACCAAAAUAGAAGAAAAAUAAAUAAAAUCAGUCAUUCAGAUAAUAGGUACAAUCAGGCGCACAGUAGUUCCUUCCAAUUAAUAAGCUGAUCGAUAUAAGAUAAAAAAUACUUGCAACUAAGAUAAACAAACUGUGCUCGACAAACUUGUACUAACAUAUUUCUUAGACGUUUAUAUUAUAGAAUUCUAUAGCAAACUAUUCAAAGGUAAUAAAAUAGACUCAUAAACAAAAUUAUUUUGUAUAUGAAUGCUACUUCUAAUUUUUCUCUGAUAUGGAUGGAAUUUAACUUAAUUAAAUGUCCCAAACAUAUUUGGAAAAUAUAAGAUAAGUUUUACAACAAAAUAGAGUUAGUUUAUCAUUAUAGCAAUGUCAAUGGUAAUUUUUUGUGGAUAAAUGUUAACUAUAUUUGGCAUUUUUGUUGUUAGGUAUAGUAGACAAAAAUUGUUGUUUUAAAAAAAGCAAUUUAAAACAAAAUAAUGUAUAGAAAAUAUGAUAUAUAAUAGAAAGUAAUUUUUUGGCAUAAAUAAGUUAUAACCCAUUAGCGAAACCAAAUCAAGUUUUGUGGAGGUGACGCACAACGACAUUCCUCGAUUAGUUUAUUCCCAUUGGUGAAUAUGUACGGGAGGUAUGAAUCUGCAUCGGAGACCAAGACAACAGACCAUGCUUACCCAAGUGGUGAAUCUGCCACUAGUGAUAAUCAUAUUUCUAAACUGUAUUAACAAUUAAAUUUGACCAUUCUAAUCGAUCGUCUAUGCUUUCACCAUGUUUUGCAAUUUUCCUCUUAAUAUGUGUUGACCUUAAUUAUGUCAUCAUUAUUAUCUUCUAACACCAUCUAGAAAGACUUAAUAUUCCGUCUCAAAUCUUAUAUCUUCUCUUUCGUGCGACCCCCCACAUCCCUGCACCCCCACAUCGUCUCCCUUUUUGUCCAUGCCCGCUUUAUUUACGUGUGCCUCCCAUUCUUGGUACGCUAGGACGCAACCCACACACCACAAUCGAACCGAUGCCUCCCUCACCCUUCUUACUACCUCCCAAUCUAGGGUUUCCAACCCCCACUACUACAGAACUGAAUAUUACUGACCGGCCAAAUCAUAUCAUCACUGAUGCGCCAACGACCCGUCAGUAGUUCCUGGACGGUGAUGACUGUAUCAUCACAAACGAGCCAGGUGGCCGGUCAAUGAAGAUGACUAGAAGCUGAAUGGUUGGUUGACAAGCCAAAAAGUUGGGGUACACCAGCCGCCAAAAAUGAACUAGGGGGAAACCUUAGCUUUUAAAGAAGUUGAUUGUUUAGAAUACCCCUUUGGUUCAGAUUUCAACUUUUUUAGCCAAAAGUUGGCAGCUCAAAGUGAACAAACACCAGUUAGCAAAAAUGAACUAGGGGAAAUCCAGCUUUUAUAGAAGUGUUGGUACCUUAGAACACCCCAGCCUUUGGUUCAGAUUCUAGCCUUUUUAGCCAAAAGUUGGCGGCUCAAACUAAAACGAACACAAGCUUGUGGUCUCACUAUCAUCACAAGAGCGUGUGGUAUUGUGGUAGAACUCUCCGGUUGAAUUUGUGAUUGUGGUGACCCUUGCGAAAUGUCAAAACAGUCAAAAUUUUGUAUUUGCCACACUGAAAGAGAUCUGAACAAUGUGGAGACAACAGUUUUGCGUACGUGACAACAUAGCUGCCACAAACAAUUGACAAAACUCAGAAAUAGAGGAAAUAAAGAAAUAAAUAUUUCAUUUUAUGGAAACUCAGCAAAUUUCAAUAAUAAGUCUAGUAAAUUUAUUAUCUUUGAGUAUUAAUGAAACAAAUAGAAAUCCAGGAUUACAUUUAGAUAAAACUUAAAAAAACAGAAGGAAAUAAACAAAAAACUCUGAUAUUCUAGAAAACAUUAAAAAUAUGAGGAUAUUAAAAUAAAAAUAGGAGAAAAUUACCACCGCUUUAUCUCAACCAAACGGCUCUGAGGGGGUUCAUUGUGACCUGCCUCCGAGGGAAUGCCAGCCAGUUAACAUAACUGAAACAGAAAGCUUCUAAUUUUCAUCUAUCUCUAUGUUUUUCAUAACAUUUUUUAUUUUUUGCAUAUUUAAAUUCCUGAAAUAUUUUAUAAUGGUUUUUCUCUUCAUAUAUUUCUUGACUGAGUCGAAUUUAUUUUCUCGCCGAGCUGCCAAGGAAUUGGCCAUGUUAGCAUUAAAAUUACUUUCAGUGAAGCAACAUGCUAAAUUGGGACGGUUCUCGUACUACGACUGUGUCAUAUAGAUGUUCAGUACUCCCUGUCUCCCUCUGCCAAAACUUAUAAGUGGCUAUUGUAGUAAAGAAAAUUUGUUUUUUCUAAGUUGUGCAUGGAUUAAAGUUCUAUAAAAUUCUUAAUUUAUUUUCAUGCCGAUAGCAAAACAGCAGUAUGAAGGAGUCAAAAUUAGAUGAUGAUUAUUAUUUCUUAUUUGAAAAUAGAAGUCUUUCUAUUUUUGAUGUGCCUGAGAAACCAUGGGAGGGCCAUUUGAAUUAUUGAUGCUAUUUCUAGGAGACAGGUUCAGUGACUCGCAAUAAGAAAUUCAAUUAUGCUCGUUGGAUCUUGACACAGGUUAUUGUCAAUGCGUCGUUCCGAUAUUAGAGCAUCUCUAGCAGACCCGCAAAAUCCCAAUCCACAUAAGUGUUUUUUGCAGUUCGUGGAAAAGUCCAUAUGCAGGCCGGCACGGGCGAGGUCAGACUCGGAUCCUGCAAAAUGGACCCGUAAAAAAGGAUAUUCGGCAAAUAUGCUCUUUUACGGGUCGGCUACGCGGGGUCUGCUCAGGCACCGCCGCGUUGACCCACAAACCGAAUACACCCAAUUCACGAAUUUGACAUCGGUUCUAACAAAUAAGUUCAAAUUCAAACAAUAGAACACAGUUCACGCGCAAAUAAAAACUUAAGUUUUGUAGGACAAACGCAAAAGAUGGUCUUGCAGAAGUGACGACCACGUCUGGCAUCAUCUUGGUCGAUCUUCACUCCGCGCCAUCGAGUCCAUGGAGUUCAUCGGAACCACCGAAUCCAUCUCCGAUGCUUGUUCCAACUCCCGCACCGAAAUCAUCGACAUUGGUUCCAAACCCCGCUGAGAAAACCUCUUCGGCACUGUAACACACACUAGCCGAUGCAACCAUUCUCUUCUUUAAGAUUUCUCUUCUUGCCAUAUCAUGCCAUUCUUUGGUGAGGUCGUCCAUGUCAUUGCGGUUCAUUGUGAUGAUCUUGUUCUCUUCGGCGAGCAACUUGGACAUGGCUUUGUUUUCAGAGGCACAUGCUCUUCUCUCCUCAAUGGCCGCUUUGCGCCGCCCCUCUUCCUUGAGCAACUGCCAUUUUUUUGCUUCUUCCUUGCCUUCUUCUCGACCAACUCUUUCUUAAUCUCCAACGACUUCAACAACAUCAAAUCAUUUGAUUGCACCAUGGCAUCAAUCUUCUCCCUCAAGCUCGAAGAUUCGUGCUCUCUCUUCAUCUUCUCCUUAGUCUUCUUGUCGACAUCGGGCUUGUUCAAGUUUCUUGGACCAUCAUCAUCCUCAUCUUCAUCCAUGUUAGUAAGUGAACCUCUCUUCGGUGGGGAUUCUUUGUCAAUCAACUUCCACUUCUCGCACUCUUUGAGCAAGUCCCAACAAUGCUCUAGUUUGAAGAAUUUACCUUCCGAAGCUUCCAUGUCUUUGUAUCUAUGUUGGCCAAUUUUGUCCUACACAAUUUGAACAAACUCAAUAUGAUGUGCACAACUUGAACAAAGUCAAAACGAACUCACAUAGUCGGAUUCCACGGUUCCACUUGGAGGUGCAUUGCGUGCUUGCUCCAAGCAAGCUGCCAAACGGCUGCAAAUUGGCUCGAUCACAUCCCAACACCCUUGAAGCGACUGAAAGGUGCAUGGAGUCCUAUUGGGAUAUUUUGCCAUCAUGCGGAAGUAUUGAUCUUCGAUCCUUUGCCAAUACCUCUUGGUGGUUUGAGAAGUUCCCGUGCAUGCAUCAAGAGACCCCGCACUCCAUGCCCUGAUCAAGAUUUGAUCUUCCAAGAUCGUGUAGUUCUUCGAUCUCUGGCUUUUUUCACUUUUUGUUUGCGAUUGCUCAUACGCCCCCUCAUCGAUCUCCUCCACUUCUUCCUCACCACCAUGAUCAUCCACGCCGCCCUCCGUUUCAUUGUAAUCGAAUGCGGCGAACGGGGCUUGAUCGAUGUCGACGGUGUUGGUAUCCAACAAGCUCACGAACUCGGUAGUUGCAUUGUUCGAACCACCGCUAUAGUGAACGACAACAAGUCACGAGCUAUUGCAAAUGGCGAAAAGCAAAGGAAAUUGCCAUGACCAAAGACGCAUACCUACCGGCCAUUUCGUCAAACACCUCGCCUGCGGUGGGAGCAGCACCGUUGAGCGGCAUCGCCGGGGAACCUCUUUCCGGGGCGGAGGGAGUGGAUGAAGGAGGCGGCUUCUUUGUAGCCGGAAUCCUCUUCCUCUUUACGCCGGUGGCCUUCGCGACCUUCUCCGCCGCCGGCCGGGAUCGCGCAGCGGCGUUGGCGCCCGGAGCGCGGGCCUUCGCGGCGGGGGCAGGCGGAUUCCCGCCCUGCACGACCACGUUGCCCUGCCGCUUGCGGGCAGGCGCGAGGUACCUUGGGCGACGGCCGGGCCAACAUGGCCGGCGACGAGAUCCGCCCGAGGGGAUUGAGCGUGCGCGACCUCGACGGUGACGAGGGACAUCACGGAGUCAUCCAUGGCGGCGAAGGACUGCCGAGGAAGAUGCACCGGAGCGGGAGGUGACGGGGCAAUGGUGACGGAAGGUGGGGGGAGCGGGAACGGCCGCUCGGAAAUGUCCCUCCCGCCAAAUCUCGCUGCGGAUAGGGGCCGAGCUCGGAUCGUCCUCCCAGCCUGUGAAUCUAGAGGUCGUGGGAGAUCUUUUGCCGCGCCCCGCAAAAAAAUUUAAGGGUCGGCUGCGAAUACGGUGUCUGAUCGGACAGGUUUUUCCGCCCCAACCCGUAUUUUGACGGUUAUUUUGCGGGUCGAGACGGUACGUGGGGUCUGCUAGAGAUGCUCUUAUCUCUGCGGACUUGCGUCGAUCCGAAACUGUCGCAAUGGACAAAGCCGCUACUUCUUCCGCCGGGAAUAAACAAAACGACGUGAGGUGAGCAGCCCACUGCACCGGAAUGACAGCGAGAGGUGAGCAAACUGAUUCUGAAUUCUGAAAGCACCCGGUAUCCUGGAAAACCAACGUCCGCUGCCGCCUGUUUUCCUCUGGCCCUCACGUGUAUAUAACACCAUCGGCUCCCACUCUUCUUCUCAUCAACACAAACAAGUAUCGAUCAGCUUGCUUCACCACCACAAAAUCCACACUCCACUGCUAUCAAGCUUCAAGCAUCAGAGAGUUCAGGCAGACCAUUGAGCGGCAUCAUCUCCUCCAACGCGGCGAGAAGAACAGAGUUGCAGAGAGAUCAUGGCGGGUGCGGCGAAGGCGUCAUGGAUGGUUGCGAUGAGCGUGGGCGCCGUGGAGGCGCUCAAGGAUCAGGCCGGGCUCUGCCGCUGGAACUACGCGCUCCGGUCCAUCCACCGGACUGCCAAGGCCAGGGCCAACGUCCGUGGCGGCGUCUCGCAGGGCGCAAGGCAGCUUCCGGCUUCCGCAGCGGUGGCGGAGAAGCGACGAGCAGAGAAGACCGAAGAGGGGCUGAGGACCGUGAUGUACCUCAGCUGCUGGGGUCCCAAUUAGUACUACUAGCUACCAAGAGGUGUUUUCUCCUAGCUCCAGCAUCUGUUAGAAACUUCUAGCAACAACCACGCCGUGUGACUUGGCUGGUUAAUUCCCUGCCGAUUAUAAAUACGUAUCACGAUGAUGAUGAUGAAACCUUUCCCCACUUCGAGUUCACAUUAUCCUUCUUCAGAAAGGUUUGAAUUGCCUUUCAAACUGAUCUGUUUGUUUCAAAUUCUUUGGGAAGAUUGUUGUUUCGAGUUGGGCGCAAGCUUUGCCUGUUGCUCUGUUCGAUGGGCAGAGCAUUGAUCCUGCUCCAUUUUCCGCCAGCUUGUGCAGAUGAUAAUCAAAACCUUCUUCUUUUUUUGCGAAUUAGUGUUGUAGGUUCAGUUUUAUAAACAUAUGAAUAUGAUACUACCUCCGUCUCGGUGAAUAAGUCAUUCGCGUAGUUCUAGGUCGAUGAUUUAACUAUCUAAAUAUGGAUUAUGUGUAUAAAAAAUAUAUAUUUAGAAAUUACAUCCGUGUAGAAAUCUAGUGAUAUACUUUUCAUAACAUAUAACUCAUAUUUAAUUGCUCAAAUCAAUGACCUAGAACUACGUAAAUAACUUAUUCAUCUAGACGGAGGUAGUAGUACAGUAUGCAUCUUUCCACUAUUUGUGCAACCUCACAUGCGUCUUCUUUGUUGUGUUCGUCCAUCAGACGUACGCGGGACUGUUACUACCAAACAAGCGCUGAAAGUGGAAACCAUGUGUUGCUCCUCUGGUUCCCCCUCCCCCCGGCCAGCUCUCAUACUCGUACGUGUUCUCACUGUCACAUGUCCACAACAUGAGCCUGAAGCCCUGAGGUGAUAAAGUUUCUCCAGUUAAGUCGGUGAAGAAACUUACAAUAUUUGGCUACUGCACUGAAAAUGUGAUUGCUUGCUAUAGGACCAGCGCAUCAGACCAGCCGAUGAAGACAAGUGUAGAUCGGAAGGAUUCAACUUGCAGACACACAGACCUAGACGAACGAAGAUCGGAUCCAUCGAAGACAAACGCCGACCGUAUCCCAUGAAAUCCGUUGGAAACACACGUCCACACGCCCUCCGACGAGCUUGAAGCAUCAACCGGGCGUGGGCUAGGCAGGGAGAACCUUAUUUCAUCUAAAAAAAGCAGUCGCCGCCUCAUCUUCUUGAGCAUGGCACAAAUCCUAACAAAACUCUGAAAAGCAUGUAAAAAUGGAGCCCUCCCGCCGGCAAGGGCCGGUAUCCACCGCGCCUCCAUGGUCCAAGGACCAUAGAAGACGAGGCGGACCGGUGGCGGCGCCAGCGAGAGGUAGGGAAACCCUAGACGGGAGUUCGCACAAGAGCGGGAGCGAAGAAUUUUUUUUUGUACAAUUAACAUUCUUGGCUUUACAUGUCACCAGUGGUUAUACCUUUUUAUUAAUUUGCAGGGGCAUGUAUUAUAUAUUUUUUGUAUAUUUUAAUAAAUAUAUAUUUUUCUCCAUCAGUUGUCAAAGUAUAAAACUACAAUGUGGAAAUUUUUUGGACUCCCAGGUCUCCCAAGUGUCAAACGUCUAGAUUUGCAUCUUGACACAUUUAUAGUUGUCUUACCAUAAAGUUGACGCGAUGAUUUUGAAUAUACCGAAUUCAUGUUAUUCCUUCGGGGGAAAAAUGAUUCUCCAACUAUUGUCAAAUCUUAAAUUUGGCUCCAAACAUCAAAAAAAUUCUUUGCCAAUCAAGUAUCAAAAACAUCUAGACUUGGUAUUUUGCCCCAUUGAAAGUGGUUUUGCAUACAUGGUAGCAUAAUCACCACAAUGAUUUUUUUUACAUCACAUGGGAAAGAUGAGAAAAUAGAACAAUAAAAAAUUCAGACAUUUGCUAAACAAUAUAUGUUUAUUUUAGGAAUUUUUUGUCUAUACAAAAAAAAGCAUGGAAAUGAAGAGGUACAGAAAAAAUUGGUCAAAAUGAACGAAUUUGCGAAAAACCUUUUAUAUUUGAAGAUGUAUUAAAACUAAGAGAAUUUCAAAUUUGAAGAAUUAAAUCGAGGAAAUUAAAUCUUUUGAGUUUUAUCAGAUUACAUGGUUUCCUGAAUAUAGUAUAUGAUAAUUAUCCAAUUUCAAAACUCCUGAAAUCUUACCUGAUUCUUUAUGUUUUUCCUAAAAAAUAAUGUGUUAAUUUCCCCAUUUUAUUUGUGUUCUGCCAAUUUUAUUUGCACACUUAGUUACGACAUGUGCAAAACCCCCUCUAUGGCAACUAAAAUAAAUUGCUUUCCAUGAAGCAGUAACUUCGACAAUUCUACCCGCAAAAAAAAAAAACUUCGACAAUCCUGACAUUUUUUAGCCUACGAACAAUAGUCCUACAGUAUUCUAAGACAACUAAUGUUACUACUCGCAAGUGGCAAUAACAUUUGAAUCUGCUUACUGAAUAUUUACACACAUCACCUAUCCUUUAUUCAUAUCUUAUCUCUGUCGGCUUGUUCCAAUCCCAGACUCUAUCGCAAUGGCCAAAACCACCACUUCCACAGAGAAUAAACAAACGACACGGCAACGAUGGUUGCGGCGUGAAGAAGCAGAGUAGCAGCAGAGUGAUGACUCCAGAAGCACCCGGUUUCGUGGGAAAACCAACGUCCGCGACCACUGUUUUGCUCCAGACCUCCCGUAUAUAACCACGUCCCAGCCCCUCUCCCCCUCUCAUCAACACAAGCAUCUACACUCACAAAGUCCGCGCUCUGCACUCUACACUCGACAACUAGCUACUCUACUACUCUUCAGUCAUCACCUACUUCAGACCACCAACACACAGAGAGAUCAUGGCGGGUGCGGCGAAGGCGUCUUGGAUGGUGGCGAUGAGUGUGGGCGCCGUGGAGGCCCUCAAGGACCAGGUCGGCCUCUGCCGCUGGAACUACGCCCUCAAAUCCAUCCACCGGGCAGCCAACGUCCGCGGCGGCGUCUUGCAGGGCGCCAAGCAGCUUCCGGCCUCUGCUGAGGCGGCGGCCGAGAAGCGGCGAGGGGAGAAGGCCGAGGAAGGGCUGAGGACGGUGAUGUACCUCAGCUGCUGGGGUCCCAAUUAGAAGCUGCAACUUGGUACUAGCUAGGCGUGUGUGUGUUUGCUGCAACAACCAUGGCCUGGAACCACGAUGUAAAAACUUGGUACUAGCUGGCUUCCCGAGGAAUCCCCCAUUGUAAAAACCCCGAUGAUGAUGAUGACAAAUUUCUGUUACUUCAGUUCAUAUCACUCUCCUUAUCUGUUUGCCUUUUUGUUAUCUUGAUGAGAAAUAUGAAUAGAUGCUUUACUUUAGUUUCAGCUAUUCCCUUGUCUUUGAACCCGGCCUUUUGGUCGUAUGUCAUUACAACUUACAAGGACUUCAUUUUUUUACCUGAGUUCAUAGCAAACAUGCUGUAUCUCUUCAGUC